This 253-nucleotide ribosomal RNA is filed under the name uncultured bacterium. RNAcentral's name for it is "partial 16S ribosomal RNA". It matches the Rfam family "Bacterial small subunit ribosomal RNA", at positions 524 to 776 of the family's 1533-position model. The record is from RNAcentral.
UACGGAGGGUGCAAACGUUGCUCGGAAUUAUUGGGCGUAAAGCGUGCGUAGGCGGUCUCGCAAGUCGGUUGUGAAAGCCCUCGGCUCAACCGAGGAAGUGCAUUCGAAACUACGAGACUUGAGUACCGGAGGGGAUGACGGAAUUCCCGGUGUAGAGGUGAAAUUCGUAGAUAUCGGGAGGAACACCAGUGGCGAAGGCGGUCAUCUGGACGGAUACUGACGCUGAGGCACGAAAGCGUGGGGAGCAAACAGG